CAGUCGCCACGGUAAAACGAAGGGUGCAAGCGUUAAUCGGAAUUACUGGGCGUAAAGCGUGCGUAGGCGGUUUGUUAAGUCUGUUGUGAAAUCCCCGGGCUCAACCUGGGAAUGGCAAUGGAUACUGGCAAGCUAGAGUGUGUCAGAGGAUGGUGGAAUUCCCGGUGUAGCGGUGAAAUGCGUAGAGAUCGGGAGGAACAUCAGUGGCGAAGGCGGCCAUCUGGGACAACACUGACGCUGAGGCACGAAAGCGUGGGGAGCAAACAGGAUUAGAUACCCCAGUAGUCCCUGUCUCUUAUAC
This 301-nucleotide ribosomal RNA is filed under the name uncultured bacterium. Its description in RNAcentral is "partial 16S ribosomal RNA". It matches the Rfam family "Bacterial small subunit ribosomal RNA", at positions 509 to 807 of the family's 1533-position model. The record is from RNAcentral.